AGCUACAGCUAGCUAGCACUGCAGUGCAUAAAAUAUGAUGAGUAGUUGACUCAAAGAGAGAGAAAGACAAUAAUUGAUUUCUUCCAAAAUGAAGGAGAAGUAGGAGAGAGAGAGAUUGCAAUAUCUUUUUUUUUUUGAGGGGGGGGGGUUCACUUUCACUUAGCUACUUAGCUAGCAAAAGGCAAAAGCAGCUAGCUAGCUAGUUUAACCUACUCAAACACCCGGCUCAAACAGAGGGAUGCUAUGUUAGCUAGCUGAUUAUGACUAUCCAACACAACACUGGAACUCUUCCAAGUCAAGAUUCAACUAGUCUGUUACGGCAGAGGCAGAGAUGACGUUGGAGGGAUAUGGGUCAAACUUAGCUGAAAUGGUUUCGUGCCCCACGUCCGGUGUCAAGUUUUCAUACAUACAGCUGAGGACUUUGUAUCUUAGGCUUUGGAGUUUAACAGGAUGGAUGGACAGGAUUCUGUCUUGGACCCUUUCCUCAACUCCUGUGAAUAACUCAACAGAAACACAAACUCUUCCACUGCGUCGGCCAUCUUAGAGAUUUCUGGAUGUAGCCUACCAUUCCCCAGUUUGUAAGGCGGAGUUUCAGAAGCUGUAAACUGGCUUACACUCAAG
This 621-nucleotide long non-coding RNA is filed under the name Salmo salar (Atlantic salmon). Its description in RNAcentral is "lncRNA (ENSSSAG00000109636.1)". Lineage: Eukaryota; Metazoa; Chordata; Actinopteri; Salmoniformes; Salmonidae. The record is from RNAcentral.